UAGGGAAUCUUCGGCAAUGGACGAAAGUCUGACCGAGCAACGCCGCGUGUGUGAAGAAGGUUUUCGGAUCGUAAAACUCUGUUGUUAGAUAAGAACAAGGACGUUAGUAACUGAACGUCCCCUGACGGUAUCUAACCAGAAAGCCACGGCUAACUACGUUCCAGCAGCCGCGGUAAUACGUAGGUGGCAAGCGUUGUCCGGAUUUAUUGGGCGUAAAGCGAGCGCAGGCGGUUUCUUAAGUCUGAUGUGAAAGCCCCCGGCUCAACCGGGGAGGGUCAUUGGAAACUGGGAGACUUGAGGGCAGAAGAGGAGAGUGGAAUUCCAUGUGUAGCGGUGAAAUGCGUAGAUAUAUGGAGGAACACAAGUGGCGAAGGCGGCUCUCUGGUCUGUAACUGACGAUGAGGCUCGAAAGAGUGGGGAGCAAACAGG
RNAcentral lists this ribosomal RNA (429 nucleotides) under Chloroflexota bacterium. RNAcentral describes it as "Chloroflexi bacterium partial 16S ribosomal RNA". It matches the Rfam family "Bacterial small subunit ribosomal RNA", at positions 355 to 776 of the family's 1533-position model. Lineage: Bacteria; Bacillati; Chloroflexota. The record is from RNAcentral.